GAUAACUGGCUUGCAGCGGCCAAGCGUUCAUAGCGACGUCGCUUUUUGAUCCUUCGAUGUCAGCUCUUCCUAUCAUUGCGAAGCAAAAUUCGCCAAGCGUCGGAUUGUUCACCUACUUAAUGGAACGUGGACUGGGUUUAUACCGUCGUGGGACAGGUU
RNAcentral lists this ribosomal RNA (159 nucleotides) under Acyrthosiphon pisum (pea aphid). Its description in RNAcentral is "Eukaryotic large subunit ribosomal RNA". It matches the Rfam family "Eukaryotic large subunit ribosomal RNA", at positions 2825 to 2984 of the family's 3401-position model. Lineage: Eukaryota; Metazoa; Arthropoda; Insecta; Hemiptera; Aphididae. The record is from Rfam by way of RNAcentral.